GAGGGUAUAGCUCAAGUGGCAGAGCACAUGCUUAUAAUGCAGGAGGUCCUGGGUUCAAUCCCCAGUACCUCCA
Molecule: transfer RNA, 73 nt
Filed under: Camelus bactrianus (Bactrian camel)
Lineage: Eukaryota; Metazoa; Chordata; Mammalia; Artiodactyla; Camelidae
Also listed under: 2 other names
Rfam family: tRNA
About the family: Transfer RNA (tRNA) molecules are approximately 80 nucleotides in length. Their secondary structure includes four short double-helical elements and three loops (D, anti-codon, and T loops).
Source: Rfam by way of RNAcentral